CCUACGGGAGGCUGCAGUGAGGAAUAUUGGUCAAUGGACGAGAGUCUGAACCAGCCAAGUAGCGUGAAGGAUGACUGCCCUAUGGGUUGUAAACUUCUUUUAUAAAGGAAUAAAACGAGGCACGUGUGCCUUUUUGCAUGUACUUUAUGAAUAAGGAUCGGCUAACUCCGUGCCAGCAGCCGCGGUAAUACGGAGGAUCCGAGCGUUAUCCGGAUUUAUUGGGUUUAAAGGGAGCGUAGAUGGGUUGUUAAGUCAGUUGUGAAAGGUUGCGGCUCAACCGUAAAAUUGCAAUUGAUACUGGCAGUCUUGAGUACAGUUGAGGUAGGCGGAAUUCGUGGUGUAGCGGUGAAAUGCUUAGAUAUCACGAAGAACCCCGAUUGCGAAGGCAGCUUACUAAACUGUGACUGACAUUGAUGCUCGAAAGUGUGGGUAUCAAACAGGAUUAGAUACCCGGGUAGUC
This 460-nucleotide ribosomal RNA is filed under the name uncultured bacterium. RNAcentral's name for it is "partial 16S ribosomal RNA". It matches the Rfam family "Bacterial small subunit ribosomal RNA", at positions 338 to 795 of the family's 1533-position model. The record is from RNAcentral.